Mangifera indica (mango) is the source of this 3897-nucleotide long non-coding RNA. RefSeq lists it as uncharacterized. NCBI's taxonomy places the organism in Eukaryota, Viridiplantae, Streptophyta, Magnoliopsida, Sapindales, Anacardiaceae. The record is from RefSeq and is a predicted model, not a curated record. The transcript is spliced from 2 exons.
UUAAAAAUAAAUUGAUAAAAAAUUAUUAUUUAUCAAACAAGUUUGAACUCAACUGACACACAGAGUUUCACCUCUCAUGUGAAAAACACGGUGAUUCUUCAAUGAUCGAACGGCUCAUGCAUCCUCAUUGUGAUCAGGGGAUAAAAGUAUGGCAAAGAGAUCGUAACAGAGCUUCGGUACAGCCAUGCUCUGAGUUUUCGAAGUCCCACAUUGCUCAAGGGAAAGGAAGACAGAAAGCGGGUGAGCUAUAAAAUGGAAGUUGAGGUAAUGAAUAAAGCAUACCUUUCUCGGCCUUUUGGCUAAGAUCAAGUGUAGUAUCUGUUCUUAUCAGUUUAAUAUCUGAUACGUGAGCCAUUGGCUCACAUGAUAUUAAAUUUAUUUUUUUAGGGGGAGUGCCUGUUAAGGUUAGCUUGCUAUCGGGGCUCUCGAGCGUCGCCCAUGCGUUGCACUACUGCAAGGGCCUGGCGCACCCCACCAAAUUAGGUUUAAAGUUUAUGUUCGAAAUUUCAAUUUGGACAGUUGAAAGAUAUGUGUAUUGAUGUCUAAUUGGUGAAACAACCAUUUGGUGAUUGGCCGCCAAAUGGUUGCAGUGAUAGUGAGGGGUUUGUGAGUGAUGAGGAGUUUGAGACUUCCGCAGAGAGGGCUUCUGUGGUUGUGACCCAGCCUGAUAAGGAAUUAAAGGAAAGUUGUGUUACCGAUAAACAUCUAUUCUUUUAGGUUGGGGGCUGACCUUGAUGAAGAAUUGUCUCAACAAUCCAUAGUAGAGGAUGAAUAUGAUGGCUCUGUAGUUGAUUUAGCUGUGGUGAAUAAUCCAAGGGUGCAAACUUUUGCCCUUUGGACUAUCGAUAAUGAUUUUCGUGAGGAGCUGGUUGGUGGAGAUGAGGAGAGCGAGAUGUUGUCUUUUCAUAUGUUAGCUACGGUUCCUGAUAGUGGGAAUCUUGAGAGAGUUGACAGUGCACUUAGAAUGAAGUUAAUGGAUAUAGAAGAAGGGGAAAGAGGAGCCUUUUUCUGAGCCACUGAUCCCUGUGAUGUUUGUUGACGCUUCAGAUUUGGGUAAAUUUAUUGGAGUAGAGGAUGUGGGUUUGAGUACUUUUGGAGAAGCAAGUUUGGUGGAGGAUUCUUUUGAUAAAUUAAGGAUGUGAAUUUGAGUACUUUUGGAGUAGCAGGUUUGGUGGAGGAUUCUGUUGAUAAAUUGAGGAUGCAGAUUUGAGUACUGCUAGAGAGGCAAGUUUAGUGGAGGAUUCUGUUGAUAAACUAGUGACAGAUGAAUCAAUUGAACAUAAAGAUCAAAGUGAUACAAAGGAGACUCACUUUGAGUCCUUUCUGGAAGGUAAAGAACUUUUAAAAGUAGUUUUAAGCAAGGGCCAGUACUUGAAGUUGCAAGGAAAAAUCAAACCAGUACUAGGAAGUGGAAGUCCUUUUGAUCAAUGUGGUGACAAAGAAAACCUGGAAAGAUCUAGCCAGUAUUUGAUAUGGGAUACAUUGGUAUGAUCCAUUGGCAGCCAUCUCAGUGGUACCCAAAGAUGGUCUUAUUUGAAGGGAGGGAAGUUCAGGAUGUGGACUAUAAUGUUUCAGAACUACAUUCUAGCUCUACUAGACGGUAAUUUGCCUCAGACAAAUGAAGGUGAUAGAGUCAAAGUUAAAUGGUUCCGGCUCCUUUGAAUAUGUAAAACAAAUUUCCACUUUAGACCAUGAAGUAAAACCAGAAGUGGAAGAUGAUGUUCAAAGAUGAGGAAGAGAAAAGAGAAUACUUUCUUAUCAAGAAGUUGAAGAAUUAAUUUUCAGAAGUUCAGCAGAGGAUUUUCAAGAUCAGUCACAGAGAGUUGAUGGACAGAUCCUCCUGGACUCGGAUGAAGUGGACAUUGAUAGGAAUGGUAAAGACAGUGAAUUAUAUGAUUUUGCUGCAUUGGCUGCCGUCUUGAAAGUCACAACUACUCCUGAGUCAGAUCAUGGCGGCCCUACAUUCUCCCCUGCUUCCAGAGUAUUCACUCCUGAAAAUCCCUUUGGCUCAGGUUCCUCAGCUGCACCAUCAAAUGUCAGAAAUAAUGAAUCAAAGGAUGACUUCGGUGAUGAAGAAAGGAAGAGGAUUGAGAUGGUACAACUCUUGAGAGUGAAAUUCUUGAGACUUGUUCAGAAAGUAGGCCAUUCUCCAGAGAAUUCCCUUUUUGCACAAGUUUCAUACAAACUGGCUCUAGCUUUGGGGAGGCGUUCCAAUGAUGGCAAUGAAGUAUUUAGCCUUGAAUCAGCCAAGAGGGUUGCUGUGCAGUGCGAAGCAGAACGUGAUGUUGAUUUAGACUUCUCUUUGAACAUUUUGGUGCUUGGGAAAACCGGACUGGGGAAGAGUGCAAUCAUUAAUCCUAUUUGUGGCUAAGAGAAACUAGUGUUGAUGCAUUUGAACCUGGAACUACCCCUGUGAAACUUAUUGAUGGAAUGCUAGAUGGAGUUAAGAUGAAAAUCCUUGGCACUCUGAGCCUCAGAUCUCCUAUGACAGAACAAGUUAUCAACAUGAGAAUAUUAGCAUCUAUAAAGAAGUUUAUGAAGGAGUUCCCUCCAGACGUUGUCCUUUAUGUUGACUGAUUAGACACCCAUAUUAGAGAUUCUAGUAAUUUUCCAUUGUUAAGGUUAAUUACUAGCUUUCUUGGUUCAUCAAUAUAGAAAAAUGCUAUUGACUGUUGCUUCUGAUUCCCCCAGAGGGGCCAUCUGGGGCUCCGCUUGGCCUGAGGUUUUUGGUGCUUAGAUAUUCCAUGCAACCAUGGAGAUAUCAGCCUAGCAGAUGGUAGUCUGCUUCUGAUGAACCAAGUUUUGUUCUCAUCCAAAACCCCCCACUGAUCAUGGUGGUGAUGAAAUUGACUUGGAUAAUGAAUUGAGUGAUUUAUCAGAUUCUUAACUGGAAGUCAAGGAUGAAUACUUCCAGCUUGCACCUUUCAAGCCUUUGAGAAGUCUCAGGUUGUUAAGCUGCACAAGGAGCAAAACAAGUCCCCCUCUGAGGAGUAUGAUUAUCAGGUCAAGCUCUUCCAGAAGAAACAGUCCGUUAUUUACUGGUUGGCGAGGAGCUGUGCUUGUUUGUGAGCUAGAUGCUUAAUCGAACUAUAAACUGAACUAGUGACGAGCAGGUAGGAGAGUGACCAGGCCUGACAUUGCUAGCGAGGUUCCUGGUGCAUUCAGUCUUCAGUUAACUAAGUAUAAUUGGAACUUUGUUGUCCAAUUAGAAUCUUCAGUGCAGCAAAGCAUGGGGACAGAGGAUCAACCAUAGCAAAAUUUUACACACAAACCUUCAGAAAGCAGCAGGCUGCUUACCGCUCUCAGAGGCGAAACAAAAUUCAAAACCUUCAACAAAAACAAAACAUCUGCUAUAUUAUCAGUUAAUUCGGUGAGAACUGAACUUAAGAUUGAGGAUAUGAUUGUUUUUGGAAGGGGCUUGGCAUUGGUAGAUGAUACAGCGAAUGGAGACAACCUGGAACAGCCCAGGAUAAAGCUUUUCCUGUAGAAUAGGAUGAUUUCAGUUUAAGCCUGUGGCUUAUGAAUUGGAGAGGUGAUUUAAUUAUGGUGGCCAACCUACAGUCUCGGUCGUAUUGAAUUCUAAAUGGCAAUAUGUUAUGGAUUGAACGACCCGCAAAAUGAGCAAAAAUUGUAAAAUUUAGCAGCUCAGAGCAGCUACAAUGACACUCAUUAGCAUUCUUCCAUUAGCAAUAUCCGUCUUCUGGUAUAAUUUUCCUGGAUCUUAUUGAAAAAACUGUACAUUCUGGCUGCUGUUAGUAGUCUUAUUUCUCAUGUUCAACUUUGUUCCAUCUGCAAAGCGCUGAAGUUAUUCUAAUGGGUCUGAAAUGUGUGUUGUAACAUUAAUGAGAUGAACCUCAGUUUAUACUGUUAAAUUUUUACAAUUUGUUUAUAUGUAUA